UUUAGUGGUCGUUCGGUUGUUAAAUUAUCAAAGUUUCCCUUUAUAAGAAUCUUUUUUGUAUGGUGUAAUAGUUUUUUUAAGUUUGAAGCCAUAUUUUAGGAAAAUCGGGUCAAAGUUGACCGACUUAUGGUCAGUAUUGCCUGAUAAAGCUUUGAGGACAUAUGUGCCGCUAACUCAGAAAAUAUUAAUUCUAUUAAAAUUUUUAUAAGAACCUUUUUUAUUAGGCACAUUAAAUCAUACAUUUUAGGUCAAGUUUCAGGAAAAUCGGGCCAAAAUUAGCUGACUUAUGGCCAAUUUUGUCCAUACCAAACCUUAAGGACGUUAUAUAUAUAUAUAUAUGCAGCCAAAUUAAAAGCUUAGUAGUUUUAUUUAAAUUUUUAUAACAAUUUUUUUAUUUAAGCAUAGUAAAUCCUACGAUUUAUGCCAUAUUUGAGGAAAGUCGGGCCAAAAUUGGCCUACUUAUUAUUUUUCCGUGAAAAAAAUUGCAUGCUCGGAGAUACCCGAAAAAGGAAAAAACCCAAACUUUGAAGGCCGAUAACUCGGCUUCUAUGGGAGCUAUCGAGAAAAUUCCAACGGUUUUGUCUUAGUUUCGUCCUUCUGAAUCCAACGAGACCAUCCGCAAGGUUGUAGCUUUUACGAUAGCCGAGAUAUGGCAUUUUUGAUGCCCAUUUUUGGCCUCAAAAACGACGUCAAAAAGUGACAAUUUCCGAAUUUUCAAAGUGCUCUCAUUCCCUUAUUUCUGAUCGAAUCCUGUUAUAACCCGGUAUUUUCGUGAUCUACUUGAUGAGAACAAUCCGCUGGUAUCGUUAGUUCAAAUUCGAAAAAAAAUAUUUUUCCUGAAAAAAUCGAAACGGGGGGGUAUACCCGAAAAAUGAAAAAACCCAAACUUUGAAGGCCGAUAUCUCAGCUUCUAUGGGAGCUAUCGGAAUAAUUCCAACGGUUUUGUCUUAGUUUCGUCCUUCUGAAUCCAACGAGGCCAUCCGCAAGGUUGUAGCUUUUACGAUAGCCGAGAUAUGGCAUUUUUGAUGCCCAUUUUUGGCCUCAAAAACGACGUCAAAAAGUGACAAUUUCCGAAUUUUCAAAGUGCUCUCAUUCCCUUAUUUCUGAUCGAAUCCUGUUAUAACCCGGUAUUUUCGUGAUCUACUUGAUGAGAACAAUCCGCUGGUAUCGUUAGUUCAAAUUCGAAAAAAAAUAUUUUUCCUGAAAAAAUCGAAACGGGGGGGUAUACCCGAAAAAUGAAAAAACCCAAACUUUGAAGGCCGAUAUCUCAGCUUCUAUGGGAGCUAUCGGAAUAAUUCCAACGGUUUUGUCUUAGUUUCGUCCUUCUGAAUCCAACGAGGCCAUCCGCAAGGUUGUAGCUUUUACGAUAGCCGAGAUAUGGCAUUUUUGAUGCCCAUUUUUGGCCUCAAAAACGACGUCAAAAAGUGACAAUUUCCGAAUUUUCAAAGUGCUCUCAUUCCCUUAUUUCUGAUCGAAUCCUGUUAUAACCCGGUAUUUUCGUGAUCUACUUGAUGAGAACAAUCCGCUGGUAUCGUUAGUUCAAAUUCGAAAAAAAAUAUUUUUCCUGAAAAAAUCGAAACGGGGGGGUAUACCCGAAAAAUGGAAAAAACCCAAACUUUGAAGGCCGAUAUCUUGGCUUCUAUAGGAGCUAUCGGGAAAAUUCCAACGGUUUUGUCUUAGUUUCGUCCUUCUGAAUCCAACGAGACCAUCCGCAAGGUUGUAGCUUUUACGAUAGCCGAGAUAUGGCAUUUUUGAUGCCCAUUUUUGGCCUCAAAAACGAGGUCAAAAAGUGACAAUUUCCGAAUUUUCAAAUUGCUCUCAUUCCCUUAUUUCUGAUCGAAUUCCGUUAUAACCCGGUAUUUUCGUGAUCUACUUGAUGAGAACAAUCCGCUGGUAUCGUUAGUUCGAAUUCGAAAAAAAAUAUUUUUCCUUAAAAAAUCGAAACGGGGGGGUAUACCCGAAAAAUGAAAAAACCCAAACUUUGAAGGCCGAUAUCUCGGCUUCUAUAGGAGCUAUCGGGAAAAUUCCAACGGUUUUGUCUUAGUUUCGUCCUUUUGAAUCCAACGAGACCAUCCGCAAGGUUGUAGCUUUUACGAUAGCCGAGAUAUGGCAUUUUUGAUGCCCAUUUUUGGCCUCAAAAACGACGUCAAAAAGUGACAAUUUCCGAAUUUUCAAAGUGCUCUCAUUCCCUUAUUUCUGAUCGAAUCCUGUUAUAACCCGGUAUUUUCGUGAUCUACUUGAUGAGAACAAUCCGCUGGUAUCGUUAGUUCGAAUUCGAAAAAAAAAUAUUUUUCCUGAAAAAAUCGAAACGGGGGGGUAUACCUGAAAAAUGAAAAGACCCAAACUUUGAAGACCGAUAUCUCGGCUUCUAUAGGAGCUAUCGGGAAAAUUCCAACGGUUUUGUCUUAGUUUCGUCCUUCUGAAUCCAACGAGACCAU
Long non-coding RNA from Anthonomus grandis grandis, 2438 nucleotides. RefSeq lists it as uncharacterized. The transcript is spliced from 3 exons. NCBI's taxonomy places the organism in Eukaryota, Metazoa, Arthropoda, Insecta, Coleoptera, Curculionidae. The record is from RefSeq and is a predicted model, not a curated record.